RNAcentral lists this ribosomal RNA (492 nucleotides) under uncultured bacterium. Its description in RNAcentral is "partial 16S ribosomal RNA". It matches the Rfam family "Bacterial small subunit ribosomal RNA", at positions 29 to 507 of the family's 1533-position model. The record is from RNAcentral.
AGUGAACGCUGGCGGUAGGCCUAACACAUGCAAGUCGAACGGCAGCCCAGUAAGUGCUUGCUCUUACGGGUGGCGAGUGGCGGACGGGUGAGGAAUACAUCGGAAUCUACUUUUUCGUGGGGGAUAACGUAGGGAAACUUACGCUAAUACCGCAUACGACCUACGGGUGAAAGCAGGGGAUCUUCGGACCUUGCGCGAUUGAAUGAGCCGAUGUCGGAUUAGCUAGUUGGCGGGGUAAAGGCCCACCAAGGCGACGAUCCGUAGCUGGUCUGAGAGGAUGAUCAGCCACACGGGAACUGAGACACGGUCCAGACUCCUGCGGGAGGCAGCAGUGGGGAAUAUUGGGCAAUGGGGGCAAGCCUGAUCCAGCCAUACCGCGUGGGUGAAGAAGGCGUUCCGGUUGGAAAGCCCUUUUGUUGGGAAAGAAAAGCAGCAGGUUAAUACCCCGCUGUUCUGACGGUACCCAAAGAAGAAGCACCGGCUAACUACGUG